UACGAAGGGGGCUAGCGUUGCUCGGAAUCACUGGGCGUAAAGCGCACGUAGGCGGACUCUUAAGUCAGGGGUGAAAUCCUGGAGCUCAACUCCAGAACUGCCCUUGAUACUGGGAGCCUUGAGUUCGGGAGAGGUGAGUGGAACUGCGAGUGUAGAGGUGAAAUUCGUAGAUAUUCGCAAGAACACCAGUGGCGAAGGCGGCUCACUGGCCCGAUACUGACGCUGAGGCACGAAAGCGUGGGUAGCAAACAGG
This 253-nucleotide ribosomal RNA is filed under the name uncultured bacterium. Its description in RNAcentral is "partial 16S ribosomal RNA". It matches the Rfam family "Bacterial small subunit ribosomal RNA", at positions 524 to 776 of the family's 1533-position model. The record is from RNAcentral.